AUAUUGGACAAUGGGGGCAACCCUGAUCCAGCCAUGCCGCGUGUGUGAAGUAGGUCUUNGGAUUGNANAGCACUUUAAGUUGGGANAAAGGGCUUUAGGUUAAUACCCUGAAGUUUUGACGUUACCAACAGAAUAAGCACCGGCUAACUCUGUGCUAGCAGCCGCCGUAAUACAGAGGGUGCAAGCGUUACUCGGAAUUACUGGGCGUAAAGCGCGCGUAGUUGGUUCAGUAAGAUGGGUGUGAAAUCCCCGGGCUUAACCUGGGCACUGCUUUCAUAACUGCUGAGCUAGAGUACGGUAGAGGGUAGUGGAAUUUCCUGUGUAGCGGUGAAAUGCGUAGAUAUAGGAAGGAACACCAGUGGCGAAGGCGACUACCUGGACUGAUACUGACACUGAGGUGCGAAAGCGUGGGGAGCAAACA
This 421-nucleotide ribosomal RNA is filed under the name uncultured bacterium. RNAcentral's name for it is "partial 16S ribosomal RNA". It matches the Rfam family "Bacterial small subunit ribosomal RNA", at positions 361 to 774 of the family's 1533-position model. The record is from RNAcentral.